RNAcentral lists this transfer RNA (72 nucleotides) under Bos taurus (domestic cattle). It matches the Rfam family "tRNA". From Rfam's summary of the family: Transfer RNA (tRNA) molecules are approximately 80 nucleotides in length. The record is from Rfam by way of RNAcentral. Lineage: Eukaryota; Metazoa; Chordata; Mammalia; Artiodactyla; Bovidae. RNAcentral also lists the same sequence under 4 other names.
UCCCUGGUGGUCCAGAGGUUAGGAACCUGCCUUCCAAUGCAGGGGACACAGAUUCAAUUCCUGGUCAGGGAA